CCUACGGGAUGCAGCAGUGGGGGAUAUUGCACAAUGGGGGGAACCCUGAUGCAGCGACGCCGCGUGGGUGAAGAAGCGCCUCGGCGCGUAAAGCCCUGUCAGCAGGGAAGAAAAUGACGGUACCUGAAGAAGAAGCCCCGGCUAACUACGUGACAGCAGCCGCCGUAAUACGUAGGGGGCAAGCGUUAUCCGGAAUUACUGGGUGUAAAGGGGGCGCAGACGGCGAUGCAAGCCAGGAGUGAAAGCCCGGGGACCAACACCGGGACUGCUCUUGGAACUGCGUGGCUGGAGUGCAGGAGGGGCAGGCGGAAUUCCUGGUGUAGCGGUGAAAUGCGUAGAUAUCAGGAGGAACACCGGUGGCGAAGGCGGCCUGCUGGACUGCAACUGACGUUGAGGCCCGAAAGCGUGGGGAGCAAACAGGAUUAGAUACCCGAGUAGUC
This 440-nucleotide ribosomal RNA is filed under the name uncultured bacterium. RNAcentral describes it as "partial 16S ribosomal RNA". It matches the Rfam family "Bacterial small subunit ribosomal RNA", at positions 338 to 795 of the family's 1533-position model. The record is from RNAcentral.